GAAGCACAGGCGACGCAUGCGCGCUGACUGGAAACGCGACAGAAACCAGCGACCCCGCCUCUCAGGAAAAUCAGUCCGGCCAAGUCCGAAGCCCUAGUACUUUGGUUCCGUGUCGCAUCGGUCACAGCAGGUUCGGCCAAGAGCAAAAGGCUCCGCCCCCGGCACCCGCGGACCAAUCGCUGCUCGGCGGAAGGCUCCAGACCUAUAUAAACGAGUUACGCGCUUCUACGGGUCUUUCGAAGGAUCGUUUUCGCGUAAGUCUCUUUAGAUUGUGGGUAUUUGGGUGCCGCUGGGGUCUAGGCCUGACCUUGUAGACCCUCCAUUUCUUGGCGGGGAUCGGGCGUACCAUCCUGCUCCCCGUUAUGUACGGAGGCAGAAGGAAAGGGCUCCGGCCCUCUCGGCGUUAUGUCUUCGGUGCCUGCGGCUUCCCGUUCGCCGGUUCUAUCCUCAGACGCCGGGACACCACUCCCUACGCAGAAAUGUAGCCAGACCCUGCGGUCCCCUCUGUGCGAUAGUCACGCUCUUUUAUUUUGAUUUCAGGUCUGUGGACGUGACGCCCCGGGAGUGAUAGCUCAUGUUUUCCUUCGCGGUUUAUUGUUGAACCAAUAAAGUCAGUGAACCCUAA
This is a non-coding RNA of Peromyscus maniculatus bairdii (prairie deer mouse), 625 nucleotides long. The record is from RefSeq and is a predicted model, not a curated record. Lineage: Eukaryota; Metazoa; Chordata; Mammalia; Rodentia; Cricetidae.